Long non-coding RNA from Lytechinus pictus (painted urchin), 2981 nucleotides. RefSeq lists it as uncharacterized. Lineage: Eukaryota; Metazoa; Echinodermata; Echinoidea; Temnopleuroida; Toxopneustidae. The transcript has 3 exons. The record is from RefSeq and is a predicted model, not a curated record.
AGAUUUUUUGCCGUUUGUCUGCGCAAGUUGUUCAGCUAUUUUUUGUUUGGAGCACAAGAGCAAAGAUGCACAUAAUUGCAGCGAGCACGCCAUCAAUGAACUGUUUGCAGUUACUUUGAGAGAGGAAUUCUUAGUUCUCAUCGAGAUCAUCAACCUGUUAUAAUGAACGCUUUUCAACCCAUGGAUUUGUCAUCAUCAACAUCGUCUUCACAGACAUUUCAACUUGUUAUUCAUCGUGCUUCAACAUAAAUUUCAUCAUCGCCAUCAUUGUGAACUUUAAUUAAAGGAAUCUUCGCCAACUGACUUGGAUUUUAUUUGAAUUUAAUGAUAACCUUGGAUUGCACAUCUAACUCUUCAAGACAUGUAAGAUGUUUUGUUUUGUUGAUUGAUAUAUUUCCUGUAAUAAAAUAGAAAAUCAAAUUUAAAACUAAAUUUUCAUUGUUAUUUGUUGCAGUAUCGUAACAAAUAAUUUUGGGGGCUUGUCCGAGAAACGAAAGCCAAUUUAACAAAAGCCAAUUUGAAUUGAAAACAUUUUGAAAAUUUUUGAAAAGUUCUAGAAUAUACUAUACUGUAUUACUACUUGCUUGUAUUUCUGUAUAUUCCAUCAUGGCUACAUUUGAUGUUGAAGAAUUUCUUGAAAUGACAGAACUGUCAUAUGAUCAUUUGAAGUCACUGAAAAAAAGAUGAUUUGAUAGCAGUUUGUGAUCAUGUGGGUGUAUCUCUCGCCCCAGGUUUAAAGAAGGCAGAGAUAAUUGACUUGUUAGCUAGUCACAUGAAACUUACAGAGGAGUCUGAAACUUCUAUCAAUAUGUCAGGUGAUGCUCAGAUCCAACUGGCAAACAUUGAAUUGGAAAAGGAAAAAAUCAAAGAAAACCUUGAAAAGGAAAGAAUCAAAGAAAACCUUGAAAAGGAAAGAAUCAAAGAAAACUUUGAAAAGGAAAGAAUCAGAGAAAACAUUGAAAUGGAGAAAAUGAGAUUGGAGUACCAGUUAAAGUUGAAAGAAAUGGAGAUAGCUCAUGCAAAUACUAAUAGUAACUCUGCUCAAGAUAAAUCUCCCCAGGGCUUUGAUGUGGCAAAAAACAUUCGCCUUUUGAUGAAGAGGGAGUUGAUACAUAUUUUGUGUCAUUUGAUAAAGUGGCAAAGAGACUGAAUUGGCCCCGAGGAAUACUGGACUCUUCUCCUCCAAAGUGGUUUUGUUGGAAAGGCUGCAAAAGUCUAUUCUUCGCUCUCUGAAAUGCAAUCAUGUGACUAUGCUAUGUACAGUAAAAGAAACAAUUCUCAAUGCAUAUGAGUUGGUACCAGAAGUGUACAGACAUAAAUUUAGGAACAUGCAAAGACAAUCAGGCCAGACUUAUGUUGAAUUUGCUAGGGAUCAAGAAAUGAUGUUCGAUAAGUGGUACAGAUCACUGAAAGUUGACAAAGAUUUUGUUCACCCUAGAGAAGUUAUCCUAGAAGAAUUCAAAAAGAGUAUUCCUUUUGUCAUUAAAUCUCACUUAGAUGACCACAGAGUUACUGAAGUCAGUAAAGCAGCCAUAGAAGUUGAUGAAUUUGAGGUCACACAUUAAGGUAGUGGAGAUCCGCAUACAUUCGUAAUUCCGAAGGUUCGGAUAUUCCGAAAGUUCGUUGGAAAACGAAAUGAGGUUCGUAAUUCCGAAGGUUCGUUAAUCCGAAAACAAAAUGAGGUUCGUAAUUCCGAAGGUACGUUAGUCCGAAAAUGAAAUGAGGUUCGUAAUUCCGAAGGUUCGUUAUUCCAAAAACGAAAUAAGGUUCGUUAAUCCGAAGGCUUGUUAGUCCGAAAACGAAAUAAGGCAUGUUAAUCCGAAAAUUAAAUAAGGUUCGUAUUUCCGAAAAUGAAAUUAAUUCAUUUUGGUAACAAGAACGAUGUUGUCCUUACAAGAUAACAGGAUAUUCUGCAAUAAUAGUAAUAACGAACGAUGAUACAUGUGUGUGGUGUGGCCAAAGCAUGUAUUGAUUUAAGAAUAGGCGCCCGGAUCAAGCAUACGAUUAAUUUCAAUCUUAUCUGAGCAAUUGCUGCCCAAGCAAAUGGUUUAAAGAUGCAGGGGAUUAAGUGUGUUGGUCGCGUGCGAGUAACCUCCAGAUAAUAGGAUCUGAUGAUAUUAUGGCCUGAAAACUGGACAUUUCAAGAACUUAGGGAAUUAUGAAUAAGAUGCACGAGUAAAUAUGUUUUUAACAAUUGAUGCAAGCGCAAAUCGCGAGCCGAAAUGUUUGACGACUGUCAUGAAAUGUGGAUUUUAAGAAGUUUGUUGUAUAAUCUUUAUUGCGACACACAUUACUCGCCAAUCAAAAUAAAUGCGAGCGUGCAGCGCUUACUUGAUAUUUCAGCUUCAUAUUGAACAAGAUAUGUAAAUCACCUAAUAGGCAAUGCGAGCGCGAAGUGGGAGCGAAAAUUUUAUUUAUUGACAUAUGAAAGAUUCUUUUUAUUUUCCAAGUCUUCCCCUCAUCUUAUUUUAUUCACUCGUCUUUCUCUUCUUUUUUUCUCCUAUCUUUUCCCUGCUUCUUUCUUUCAUUCUUUCCUUCUUUCUUUCUUCAUGUCUUUUUUUUUUGCUCCGCCAAUAGGGGGGGGGGGGGCGGGACCCCUCUGGCCCCCUCCUGGAUCCGCCUAUGCAUAGAACUGUUUUGUGAAAAAUAAGCUACAUUUUAAAAUGUCAUAACUUUCUUAAUUUACAUCCGAUUUUGAUGAAAUUUUCAGCACUGUGCUAGUUUGAUUUUUCUAUAUUCAUUCAAGUCAGCAUUUUCCUGGAGUGGACUUGACCUGUAAGUAUAGUUUUACUGAAAGGGUAGACUUGUUCAUUUCCAUCCCCGAGAGGAGUUCCGGUGGCAUCUAACUUCGUGGAGACGUCUCCGUGAAGUUAGAUCCCACCCUUAAUGGCCCAAUAAUUUCUAUGAAAAGGGGGAGACAUAAGAACAUAUUUUUUUUAAGGCUCUAAAAAAUAAAAUUUCAGAAGAUGGGAUCAUCAGUG